RNAcentral lists this ribosomal RNA (508 nucleotides) under uncultured bacterium. Its description in RNAcentral is "partial 16S ribosomal RNA". It matches the Rfam family "Bacterial small subunit ribosomal RNA", at positions 30 to 523 of the family's 1533-position model. The record is from RNAcentral.
AUUGAACGCUGGCGGCAUGCCUUACACAUGCAAGUCGAACGGCAGCGGGGGAGAAGCUUGCUUUUCCUGCCGGCGAGUGGCGAACGGGUGAGCAAUACAUCGGAACGUGCCCUGUAGUGGGGGAUAACUAUUCGAAAGAUUAGCUAAUACCGCAUACGACCUGAGGGUGAAAGUGGGGGACCGCAAGGCCUCAUGCUCUAGGAGCUGCCGAUGUCUGAUUAGCUAGUUGGUGGGGUAAAGGCCUACCAAGGCGACGAUCAGUAGCUGGUCUGAGAGGACGAUCAGCCACACUGGGACUGAGACACGGCCCAGACUCCUACGGGAGGCAGCAGUGGGGAAUUUUGGACAAUGGGCGAAAGCCUGAUCCAGCAAUGCCGCGUGCGUGAAGAAGGCCUUCGGGUUGUAAAGCACUUUUGUCCGGGAAGAAAUGGCUCUGGUUAAUACCUGGGGUCGAUGACGGUACCGGAAGAAUAAGGACCGGCUAACUACGUGCCAGCAGCCGCCGUAA